UGUUUUGACUGUCUCCUAUAUGCCUCUAUAUUUUAUAAACGUUCAUUGUGUGUGUCUCCUCUUUCAGUUGGAAUCAUUCUGUUUGUGUACUCGAACAUCAAACUGACAUUAGGAGCAUCUGUUGUCUUGCAAUGCAAUGGGACGAGACAGAACGAUGGACAGUUCCUCUUUGUCAUUUUGUAUAACAUUAAAGAGUACUUCAGUGACUGCGAGAAACAAUGGCUUGUCAAUGGAACUCUGACAGGUCUUUUUGAGGAAGGAAAUCCAUCUUUCAUCUCUCCUAUUACAAACCUGACCGCAAGCACUGCCACUCUGCAGGCCUGUCCUGAAAAUCUUGAGUGUCUGCUCUCCUGCCCCACUGGCAAAAUCAAUGAAAAGCAACUGUGCUCUUGUGAUAUCAGCACUCCGACUUCACUUUCUGAAGUGGGUUAUCUUGACUGGAGCGUUGGUAUUUGGACUGGAGUGAGUGUGUCUGUGGUUCUGUUGGUGUCUGUGAUUAUCACCAUUGUACUUUAUAAGAUUAAACAAAGGUCAAGAUUUGGCCCUAGUGUUCCAGUUCCUGCUGAACAGAUUGUUUUAUUCUGGUAUGUACUGUAGCAUCAGUAGUCUGUGUGUAUGAAUGAUGCAAAUCAUUACCUUUAAUCUUAUAUUUUUAAAUAUACAUUAUAUUUGGUAGUCAACUACAGUAUAAAACAACAGCUUCUAAAAAGCUUUCACCUUUUUUUUUUGACCACAGAAGAUGUUCCAUCAUCACACCUGGACCUUUUAUCUUCAGUUAUUCAUUCUUUGUACUCCAGAAGUAAUCUUUUUAUAAUUUCCAUCAUUUAUGUAGCAUUAGCUCUAUUAUUCUGUGUGUGUUGGCUACAUUUAGCAUCUCAGUGCUUUAUAGCUUGUAGGAUUUUGUUCAUCUUUUAAAAUAAAUUAUGACACUAACCUAAAUGAAGUUACAAGAAAUAGUGAUAUUAUUUAGUUAUAAAUGAUAUAAUCAUAUAUUUAUAUAUAAGUACUGCAUGUGUCCACCAAUGAUGUGAACAUAUUAUAAUGUGUACUAAAAAUGUUUUAUCAUAAAAGUGAAUUUUAUGUCUGUUACACAAAUGGCACAUGCUCAGCAUUUAUAUUUAUUUAUAAUAUAUAUAUAUAUAUAUAUAUAUAUAUAUAUAUAUAUAUAUAUAUAUAUACAUAUACAUUAAUAUUAUUUUUUUUUAUAUAUAUAUAUAUAUAUAUAUAUAUAUAUAUAUAUAUAUAUAUAUAUAUAUAUAUAUAUAUAUAUAUAUAAUAAAAAAUAAUAUAUUUUAUUAAAAAUGAUAACUUAACACAGGUAACUAUGUAUUCUUAUUAAUAUAUAUAUUUAUCGCUGGUCUGUUUGGUUAGUGGGAAGGAACUAGGCAGAUAGCAUGGCACUUAGUGAGCGUAAAACACACGGCAUCACUGUGGCUAGGGUUUAUUGUACUGCUGAAGCAAAUUAACUGUAUUACCAGGGCAAGUAUUUUCUAUAAACUGCUGCUGUGGAAGCAAAAUGAAAUGAAAUGCUGUGCCAGUGAGUUCACAAAUCUAAUACAUUACUAGUCAAAUCCACUCAGCACCUGCCACUGCUUCAGAUCUGGCCUUAAAUAUGAAUGUGUGUUAAUAAACAAGUAAUGUAGUACAAAUGUAGUAGAUCUACAAUCUAAAUAAUCUACAAUUUAAUUAAAGUUGGAGAUGUUUGAACUGAAAUUUUCUCUGUAUGCCAUGCUAUUUGCUGAUGAAGUACUCCUCAUAUUGACCUGGGAACUUCCCACUAGUCUGUACGGUGGCCACUGAUUUAUGAUGAUGUGUCCGCUAUCACUUUGUGGUACUGCUGUAGAUUUUAGCAGAUUUGUGUCAAAUGUCUGUUAGAUGAAAGCUUUAUAUGUGUCAUAACUGAUAUGUUAUAAUAUACGCUUGGCUAUUGUAUUGCACUGCAUCCUCUUUGAAAUGACUUCUGCCUUAAAGCACUUAAAACUGCGGUCUAGGUGAAGAAUCUUCUUUUCUGUUAAUAAAAUGCUUUAAAAACAUUUUGAUGUAUAGCUGAUUGAUUUCUCCAUUGUUCAGCACUUAAGAAGAGAAGAGCAGCACUGUGAGGGUUGUGUUUGCUCAAGUCAAUACCUCAUUAUGUCAUCUGACAGAUAGCUGAUGUGCACAGAUAUGAAUAUGGGGGGCAGACUGACCUUGAAGUGGUCUUUGAGGUCUCCAGCUCAUUCAACACCCUGCCAACAAGAAACUCCCAGUGUCAAUCAGUUCUCCAUAUAUGAAAACUGAAUUUGAUCUCAAAUGCAAAUUUUCAAACUCAAAGUUUAGCCAUUUGAUUUCUUUGUUUAAUUGAUUCGCCAUGUUCUGUCCACAAAAAGGAUAGAGCAGGCUAAAAUCACCUGUUCUAAUUUGAUUGGCAGGCAGUUUCGCAACAUCCACGAUUCAGUCUACUGCACAGAUUUUUCUGCUGGGAAACAGUUUACAUGUUACCAGUAGCAACAGAAGAACAACUUAUGGUAAACGUUCACUUUUUUAAUCUAGCCACUCAUAUGCCAGAAAAAUAAUCACACCACUUUUUCUCCCCAUACUUUUUUUUUUUCAACAGGAAAAGCCAUCGUCAAUGGUUGCUCUGUUGCCUUUAAUAACCCCUUGAACAAUUUGCUUUGUCAUCCAGGAUUUUCAUACAGUCCAGACUCCACCUACUUCUUCACCACAAAACGGUCCAGGGUAAUUUUGAGGCUUCAGAGAAAUGUUGGCUAGUCUCACAUAGCCAUAAAUCUUGAGACCAAUUCCUUUGCUUUAUCUUAGUGUUUAAUAUUUUUUUACCCUGAGCAUGCAGUGCACCAUCAUUUUCUAUUUUUGGUCUUUUUAUUGGUAUUUAAGAAGACAACGUAAUUGACAUUUAAUGAAAAAUAAGAGACAAAUGACUGAAACCAUUUAAACCAUCCCAUGCAAAGAAAUAUAAAUGCAAUUCAAAACCAAAACCCCACACCUUAUAUUCAAGGAAAAGAAGAAGAAAAUAUUAUAAACAUUCCUCUCUCCAAUAUGUGUCUUUGUUGUGCAGCUAAAGAUUUCUUGCAAAACUAGUUUGGAGUCCCUUGCCUCAACUUCGUGAAGCCAUUUUCUACUGGUUUUGAAAUUAAAGUAUAUG
Cyprinus carpio carpio is the source of this 3139-nucleotide long non-coding RNA. Lineage: Eukaryota; Metazoa; Chordata; Actinopteri; Cypriniformes; Cyprinidae. The record is from Ensembl.